RNAcentral lists this ribosomal RNA (485 nucleotides) under Archon apollinus (false apollo). RNAcentral describes it as "partial 16S ribosomal RNA". Lineage: Eukaryota; Metazoa; Arthropoda; Insecta; Lepidoptera; Papilionidae. The record is from RNAcentral.
UUUUUGAAAAUAAUUUAAAGUCUAAUCUGCCCACUGAUAUUAUAUUGAAGGGCUGCAGUAUUUUGACUGUACAAAGGUAGCAUAAUCAUUAGUCUCUUAAUUGGUGACUUGUAUGAAGGAUUUGAUGAAAUAUAAACUGUCUCAUUUUAAUUUAUUGAAUUUAAUUUUUUAGUUAAAAAGCUAAAAUUUAAUUAAAAGACGAGAAGACCCUAUAGAGUUUAAUAAUUUAAUUAGUUAUUAUUUUAUAUAAUUUUUUUUUUUAUUAAUUAAUUAAAUUAUUUUGUUGGGGUGAUAGAAAAAUUGAAUUAACUUUUUAUAUAAAUUAACAUUAAUUUAUGAAUAAAUGAUCCGUAAUUUACGAUUAUAAGAAAAAAUUACCUUAGGGAUAACAGCGUAAUUUUUUUUUUUAGUUCAAAUAAGAAAAAGAGUUUGCGACCUCGAUGUUGGAUUAAGAUAAAAUUUAAAUGCAAAAGUUUAAAAUUUUU